This 468-nucleotide ribosomal RNA is filed under the name uncultured bacterium. Its description in RNAcentral is "partial 16S ribosomal RNA". It matches the Rfam family "Bacterial small subunit ribosomal RNA", at positions 28 to 507 of the family's 1533-position model. The record is from RNAcentral.
GACGAACGCUGGCGGCGUGCUUAACACAUGCAAGUCGAACGGAAAGGCCCUGCUUUUGUGGCGUGCUCGAUUGGCGAACGGGUGAGUAACACGUGAGUAACCUGCCCUUGACUUUGUGAUAACUUCAGGAAACUGGGGCUAAUACCGGAUAGGAGCUCCUGCUGCAUGGUGGGGGUUGGAAAGUUUCGGCGGUUGUGGAUGGACUCGCGGCUUAUCAGCUUGUUGGUGGGGUAGUGGCUUACCAAGGCUUUGACGGGUAGCCGGCCUGAGAGGGGGACCGGGGACAAUGGGACUGCGGGACGGCGCAGACUCCUACGGGAGGCAGCAGUCGGGAAUAUUGCACAAUGGGGGGACGUGUGAGGCAGAAACGCUGCGUGCGGGAUGACGGCCUUCGGGUUGUAAACCGCUUUCGCCUGUGACGAAGAGUGAGUGACGGUAAUGGGUAAAGAAGCACCGGCUAACUACGUG